RNAcentral lists this ribosomal RNA (253 nucleotides) under uncultured bacterium. RNAcentral describes it as "partial 16S ribosomal RNA". It matches the Rfam family "Bacterial small subunit ribosomal RNA", at positions 524 to 776 of the family's 1533-position model. The record is from RNAcentral.
UACGUAGGGGGCUAGCGUUGUCCGGAAUCAUUGGGCGUAAAGCGCGUGUAGGCGGCCCGGUAAGUCCGCUGUGAAAGUCGGGGGCUCAACCCUCGAAAGCCGGUGGAUACUGUCGGGCUCGAGUGCGGAAGAGGCGAGUGGAAUUCCUGGUGUAGCGGUGACAUGCGCAGAUAUCAGGAGGAACACCGAUUGCGAAGGCAGCUCGCUGGGACGUUACUGACGCUGAGACGCGAAAGCGUGGGGAGCAAACAGG